This is a small nucleolar RNA of Aplysia californica (California sea hare), 68 nucleotides long. RefSeq annotates it as small nucleolar RNA U54. NCBI's taxonomy places the organism in Eukaryota, Metazoa, Mollusca, Gastropoda, Aplysiida, Aplysiidae. The transcript has a single exon. The record is from RefSeq and is a predicted model, not a curated record.
GAGCUAUGAGGAUAUCUUGAUAUUGAUCAAUUUGGCAUGAUUGUAUUAUACGCUAUUCUGAGCUCUGU